RNAcentral lists this ribosomal RNA (1629 nucleotides) under Salmonella enterica. RNAcentral describes it as "partial 23S ribosomal RNA". It matches the Rfam family "Bacterial large subunit ribosomal RNA", at positions 1191 to 2802 of the family's 2925-position model. The record is from RNAcentral. Lineage: Bacteria; Pseudomonadati; Pseudomonadota; Gammaproteobacteria; Enterobacterales; Enterobacteriaceae.
GCACCGAAGCUGCGGCAGCGACACUGUGUGUUGUUGGGUAGGGGAGCGUUCUGUAAGCCUGUGAAGGUGUGUCGUGAGGCAUGCUGGAGGUAUCAGAAGUGCGAAUGCUGACAUAAGUAACGAUAAAGCGGGUGAAAAGCCCGCUCGCCGGAAGACCAAGGGUUCCUGUCCAACGUUAAUCGGGGCAGGGUGAGUCGACCCCUAAGGCGAGGCCGAAAGGCGUAGUCGAUGGGAAACGGGUUAAUAUUCCCGUACUUGGUGUUACUGCGAAGGGGGGACGGAGAAGGCUAUGUUGGCCGGGCGACGGUUGUCCCGGUUUAAGCGUGUAGGUGUGUGUUCCAGGUAAAUCCGGUUCACUUUAACACUGAGGCGUGACGACGAGGCACUACGGUGCUGAAGCAACAAAUGCCCUGCUUCCAGGAAAAGCCUCUAAGCAUCAGGUAACAUCAAAUCGUACCCCAAACCGACACAGGUGGUCAGGUAGAGAAUACCAAGGCGCUUGAGAGAACUCGGGUGAAGGAACUAGGCAAAAUGGUGCCGUAACUUCGGGAGAAGGCACGCUGACACGUAGGUGAAGUGAUUUACUCAUGGAGCUGAAGUCAGUCGAAGAUACCAGCUGGCUGCAACUGUUUAUUAAAAACACAGCACUGUGCAAACACGAAAGUGGACGUAUACGGUGUGACGCCUGCCCGGUGCCGGAAGGUUAAUUGAUGGGGUCAGCGCAAGCGAAGCUCCUGAUCGAAGCCCCGGUAAACGGCGGCCGUAACUAUAACGGUCCUAAGGUAGCGAAAUUCCUUGUCGGGUAAGUUCCGACCUGCACGAAUGGCGUAAUGAUGGCCAGGCUGUCUCCACCCGAGACUCAGUGAAAUUGAACUCGCUGUGAAGAUGCAGUGUACCCGCGGCAAGACGGAAAGACCCCGUGAACCUUUACUAUAGCUUGACACUGAACAUUGAGCCUUGAUGUGUAGGAUAGGUGGGAGGCUUUGAAGUGUGGACGCCAGUCUGCAUGGAGCCGACCUUGAAAUACCACCCUUUAAUGUUUGAUGUUCUAACGUGGACCCGUUACCCGGGUUGCGGACAGUGUCUGGUGGGUAGUUUGACUGGGGCGGUCUCCUCCUAAAGAGUAACGGAGGAGCACGAAGGUUGGCUAAUCCUGGUCGGACAUCAGGAGGUUAGUGCAAUGGCAUAAGCCAGCUUGACUGCGAGCGUGACGGCGCGAGCAGGUGCGAAAGCAGGUCAUAGUGAUCCGGUGGUUCUGAAUGGAAGGGCCAUCGCUCAACGGAUAAAAGGUACUCCGGGGAUAACAGGCUGAUACCGCCCAAGAGUUCAUAUCGACGGCGGUGUUUGGCACCUCGAUGUCGGCUCAUCACAUCCUGGGGCUGAAGUAGGUCCCAAGGGUAUGGCUGUUCGCCAUUUAAAGUGGUACGCGAGCUGGGUUUAGAACGUCGUGAGACAGUUCGGUCCCUAUCUGCCGUGGGCGCUGGAGAACUGAGGGGGGCUGCUCCUAGUACGAGAGGACCGGAGUGGACGCAUCACUGGUGUUCGGGUUGUCAUGCCAAUGGCACUGCCCGGUAGCUAAAUGCGGAAGAGAUAAGUGCUGAAAGCAUCUAAGCACGAAACUUGCCCCGA